AGGACCGCCGUAAUGAUUAAUAGGGACAGUCGGGGGCAUCAGUAUUCAAUUGUCAGAGGUGAAAUUCUUGGAUUUAUUGAAGACUAACUACUGCGAAAGCAUUUGCCAAGGAUGUUUUCAUUAAUCAGGAACGAAAGUUAGGGGAUCGAAGACGAUCAGAUACCGUCGUAGUCUUAACCAUAAACUAUGCCGACUAGGGAUCGGACGAUGUUAUUUUUUGACUCGUUCGGCACCUUACGAGAAAUCAGAGUGCUUGGGCUCCAGGGGGAGUAUGGUCGCAAGGCUGAAACUUAAGGAAAUUGACGGAAGGGCACCACCAGGGGUGGAGCCUGCGGCUUAAUUUGACUCAACACGGGGAAACUCACCAGGUCCAGACACAAUGAGGAUUGACAGAUUGAGAGCUCUUUCUUGAUUUUGUGGGUAGUGGUGCAUGGCCGUUCUUAGUUGGUGGAGUGAUUUGUCUGCUUAAUUGCGAUAACGAACGAGACCUUAACCUGCUAAAUAGCCCGUAUUGCUUUGGCAGUACGCCGGCUUCUUAGAGGGACUAUCGGCUCAAGCCGAUGGGAGUUUGAGGCAAUAACAGGUCUGUGAUGCCCUUAGAUGUUCUGGGCCGCACGCGCGCUACACUGACGGAGCCAGCGAGUACUCCCUUGGCCGGAAGGCCCGGGUAAUCUGAAUUGC
RNAcentral lists this ribosomal RNA (681 nucleotides) under uncultured fungus. RNAcentral's name for it is "SSU rRNA". It matches the Rfam family "Eukaryotic small subunit ribosomal RNA", at positions 853 to 1562 of the family's 1831-position model. The record is from RNAcentral. Lineage: Eukaryota; Fungi.